GAGGGUAUAGCUCAGUGGCAGAGUGCGUGCUUAGCAUGCAUGAAGUCCUGGGUUCAGUCCACAGUAUCUCCA
RNAcentral lists this transfer RNA (72 nucleotides) under Camelus dromedarius (Arabian camel). It matches the Rfam family "tRNA". From Rfam's summary of the family: Transfer RNA (tRNA) molecules are approximately 80 nucleotides in length. Lineage: Eukaryota; Metazoa; Chordata; Mammalia; Artiodactyla; Camelidae. RNAcentral also lists the same sequence under 1 other name. The record is from Rfam by way of RNAcentral.